RNA transcript from Aegilops tauschii subsp. strangulata, 4114 nucleotides. RefSeq lists it as uncharacterized. Lineage: Eukaryota; Viridiplantae; Streptophyta; Magnoliopsida; Poales; Poaceae. The record is from RefSeq and is a predicted model, not a curated record.
CGUCGCAUCGCAUCUGAGACUCGAGAGUGUGUGUGUGUGUGUGUGUGUGUGUCUGACCAUUCGUCGGCCUCAAUCGCCGGACGACGCCUUCCUUGCUGUUCACCUUCAGCUCCCCCGAGCCGACGCCCGGGUAACUAACCACGGCGGUGCUGCGGCCGUCCAGGCCAUCCCCGGCCACAUCGCAUUAGAUGAAACGAGCUGCUGCCCGCGGUCCUUCCCAAUCCCAACGCUAGCUCCCCACCUCUGAUUGGAGACAGCUGCUGGCUUCUGGGAGGGAGUGCUCCUGCUCCUGCUGCGGCCUCACUGGUUCUCCUCCUUGCCGCCAUCACCGGCGGCGGCGUUGGCUGACGUAGCUUCCGAAGCUCCGCCGUCACCCGCAUCUGGUGCUCCAGCUGGCGAGAUCCCCAAGACAAGCCUUGGGCACGUCGAUCCCGUUGCAGCGCAGCGGCCGGCGAAGCAGAUUUGCAGCUGCUGGCUGCAACAGGGAAGCUCGGCUCAGCCUCAGCUCGACCAGCAACUGUGGAGCAGAAACAUGGUGGAUUACCGCCGCAUGGGGAAUAUGGAGCAGCACUACUCGCGGAAUGCAACAUCAACAACAUCCUUCCUGCACCAGCUGAGAGAUCUGUGGAAGAGCCCAAGGGGGACAGUACUUCGUGUAGAGGCUUUGGCACUGGCGGCUAUUGCCUUCUCUUUCUUGCUUGUUGCAUUGGGAGCCUGCCGCCGUUGGUCUAAGCGCUGGAUCAUCCAAAAAGGCUUCUUGGCUGCAAACGUGUUAUCUAUAUCUCUUGGGACAUACAGUAUUGGUCUAAUGCAAUCCUCUUCGGUGAAGAGCGAAAUGUAUCCCGUAUGGGCUGUGUCCUUGCUCACCCUCUUCGGCUGCGUCGACCCAGUUACUUCCUACAACGGCCUUGACUACAAGGGCCCACUCUCAAAGAUGAUAUUUCAGCUCUGCCUAUAUUGUGGAUAUGUCCUGCUGAUGAGUAUCUCAACCAUCUCCAGUGAUGUUGCUAACAUAGCCAUCGGUGUGCUGUCUGCUGUCAACUUUUUCAAGGGCUUUCAUAGGUCGUUGGCGCUUGUGCUGCCAAGAAGAAUGCGAAAAAUGAUAAGGCACCUUAAAUCUGAUGCCGAAACAAAUGCUAUAUCAGAUCUUGAUGAUUAUGACUACGCAAUAGUAUCAGACUUGGUAGUUGAUUUCCCCCUAGACAUGGAUGACUCAAAGAAGAGCUUUUAUUCAAUAUUAGCGCGUGAUGGAGUUUUGAGGAAUAAUAUCAGUUUGAGCUGCGAAGACAUGGUUAAGCUACGGAUAAAUGUCGGUGACUGUCAUGAUGUGUGCACUGCCUUCGCUCUGUCUCAUUUGUUGCAACGGCAUUUCAUUGGAUUGAGUGACGCUUCGGAAAGGAAGAACGAUAUGUCAUAUCAGAUUGCUUCAGACUUCAAUCGAGCCUUUAAGGUGAUUGAGGUUGAGCUGGCUUUUCUAUACGAUAUCUUCUUCACGGGUAAUGCAUUCCUUCACUACUAUCAAGCAAAGACUGCUAGUUUCUGGGCAUUCGCUUCAUUCAUCGGGAUAUGUUUUGUUGGGGUGGCGGCUGCCAUCCCUGGGACAAUGACUAGCCGCCAUAGUGCUUCUCUUGGUCCUGGUGCUGGCACCAUCACGACAGCAGAUCUCACCGUUACUCUUGUCAUAUUGGUGUCCCUGGCUCUGUUGCAAUUGUUGCAACUAAUCCGGUGCUGGACAUCAAAUUGGGCGAGAGUUGCAUUUGCCUGUGAGCACGCCAGGAACAUGCAGAAAGGAACCAGACAGCCGCUAUGGUGGAUGAGAUUGAAAGGGUUUCUAGUCACCAGGAUUAAUUGGUUUGACAAAUACCUGUGGCAAGAUAAGCUCGGCCAGCAUUCAGUAAUUGAAGCGAGCAGCAGGAAAGAAGGCAAGCUGUUAUUCAGCCGGAGUGGCCGUCUUUAUGUGAAGUGUGCUCGCUUUCUUCGGAUGGUUGGAUUGCAGUACGUUGGAGAGGUGCUUUGGGAACUGGUGGGCAGCGACAGUAGCACAGGGCCUGCUGUUAGGUUGCACCCCGAUGUGAAGGGCUCCAUCGCCGAGUUCCUUGGUCGGGUUCAUAAUGAUACGAUAGGGGAGAGUUGGUCGUCCUUGUUUGUUGCUAAUGGAGUAGAUGAAUGGCACCUUCCCCAUUGGCAUUUCGACAAUCCUGCAGCUGCAGAACAGCUCUCAUAUUGCUGUUUGUACACACGUUCUGUUAUGAUGUGGCAUGUUGCGACAUGCUACUGCGAACUAGCAGAGCAGGCGAAGCAGAAGGAGCGCACAGGGGCAGAAGAAAAGAGUCGGCGCGUGGCCCUAGCUCUGUCCAAGUAUUGCGCCCACUUGCUGGUGUCAGCGCCGGAGUUGCUACCUGGGACGCUUCAGAAAAGGAAAGGAACAUAUGAUGGCGUUGCGUCGGAAGCAAGGAGAGUUCUGCAAGGGGCCAAAGACAAGCUUGAGGCAAUGCGAAGCGAACCCUAUAUCGAUCUCGACAGCCCUAGCAGCAUCUUCUGGGACGGUGUUCGUCUUGCAAAGCAACUCUUUUGUGGGGACGUUGGGGAUCCCUGGAAGCUGCUGGAAGUUUUCUGGGUCCAGGCGUUGCUCUACGCCGCGCCGUAUGGCGACGUGGAGGUGCAUAUGCAGCAUCUCUCGCAGGGUGGCGAGCUCAUCACCCAUCUCUGGGCAUUGUUGUACCACGCCCACAUCUACAGCUGGAAAACUGUAGAGAGAUGGGGAGGGAAGCCAAUGAAGUUGGAGACCGAGGAGGUAGAAGAGAAUCCCAAGGAUGGAGGACAGUUCAAGGGUGACCAGCUUAAUACCUGCUCAAAAGCAGAGGAUAAUCCGAGUAGUUCAAUUCCUCUUCAAAGUGCCACCGACAUAGAAGAGAACUCCAUGGACAUGGAUUCCGAGGUUGAGAUCGAGGAUGACAUCAGUUCCUGUUCAAAAGAUGAUAAUCCGAAUAGGAUUUCAAUUCCUGUUCAAGCUGACAUUCGAUGGAUGUAGGACAGACAGACUGAGAGGACUUUAGUUCCUGUUUACAGUGGCUCAGGACCAGCGAAUCAGUUCGAGCGCAGGACGCAGCUGGGUCACCUGAGCCCUUGUAAACAGUAACUAAAAUCCUCCUCCGUCUGGUCACCUGAGACCUUUCCAGUCUUCUAAGUAAUGUUUUCUCUCAGAUUUUAAGGUACUCCCAAAUGAAUAUGGACCAUCCGUCGGAGACAAAGGACAGCUGAUGGGGAAGGACUCGCUGCCGCCAGGCCGGAAGUGGACGUCGUCGCCGCUGCUCGGAGGAAGAAGGGCUCGCCGUCGUCGUCGGGGAAGGAGCUGCCGUGGAAGGUGUGGCUAGGAGCGCCCAGGGCGAGCCACACCACCGCUGGGGGCACCAUCCGUGCGAGGCGAGAUUGCAUGGGGAAGGCUGCGCUGCCGCCGCAAGGACCAUCACCGCCUCCUAGGGCCAUCAACGCCAUCACUGGAGGGAGGGACGGGGACGGCGGCGGCGCGGCGGUGGAAUCUUCGACCAGACGGAGGGACGCCACCGCCUCUGGAGUUAAAGGCCCGUCAUCACCGUGGAUGCAAGGAGCCCUCGUCGGCGCCGUCGGUGGUGAGGAGGCCGCGGGCACCCGCGCGGUGCCCCUGUCACCGCGGGGCGCGAACCGUGGGGGGGAGGGGGAGGGCGACGAGGAGGGAGAGCCGCGGCCCCUGGUCCUGCCUUGGUCUUUCCAUGGUUAUUUUCCGGUGUACGCACUCGCUUCGUACGUGGUCUAUACUACAGCGAGCGGAGUACCAACCGUUGUUCAAGGCGGUGUGUACGCGAUUGGAGCAGGUGGCUACGGAGGUUUUUUCCCAACAUGGGUGGCAGCAUAACCUCCGGGUUGACCCACCACCACUUUCGACAUAGGCAUAUAUAGUGUCGGUCUAUAGGACUCUACUGUUGCCGUUUUGUCGAUUUUGAUUCUUUUCUUUCUGUCAAACUUUUUAGAAUUGGCUGUGUGCUCUUAGUUAUGCAGAGGUCGGGUGUCACUCAUAAUGCUUUGUAUCCGCUUGAUGCUACAUUUUUGAGUUAAUAAAACGCCCUUUAUCGAAAAA